RNAcentral lists this ribosomal RNA (445 nucleotides) under uncultured bacterium. Its description in RNAcentral is "bacterial SSU rRNA". It matches the Rfam family "Bacterial small subunit ribosomal RNA", at positions 958 to 1399 of the family's 1533-position model. The record is from RNAcentral.
AACGCGAAGAACCUUACCAGCUCUUGACAUGUCCAGUAUGGGUUCGAGAAAUCGGACUCUUCAGUUCGGCUGGCUGGAACACAGGUGCUGCAUGGCUGUCGUCAGCUCGUGUCGUGAGAUGUUGGGUUAAGUCCCGCAACGAGCGCAACCCUCACCUUCAGUUGCCAUCAGGUUAAGCUGGGCACUCUGAAGGAACUGCCGGUGACAAGCCGGAGGAAGGCGGGGAUGACGUCAAGUCCUCAUGGCCUUUAUGGGCUGGGCUACACACGUGCUACAAUGGCGGUGACAGUGGGAUGCAAUGGAGUGAUCCUGCGCAAAUCUCAAAAAGCCGUCUCAGUUCGGAUUGUGCUCUGCAACUCGAGCACAUGAAGUUGGAAUCGCUAGUAAUCGCAGAUCAGCACGCUGCGGUGAAUACGUUCCCGGGCCUUGUACACACCGACUGUAC